UUGGAGGGCAAGUCUGGUGCCAGCAGCCGCGGUAAUUCCAGCUCCAAUAGCGUAUAUUAAAGUUGUUGCAGUUAAAAAGCUCGUAGUUGAAUUUCGGGAUCAAUAUAUCGGUCGUGCCAUCGGUACGUACUGGUAUGAUUGGUUUCUCCUUUCUGACGAACCAUGAUGUCAUUAAUUUGGUGUUAUGGGAUGUUAGGACUGUUACUUUGAAAAAAUUAGAGUGUUUAAAGCAGGCUUUGGCUUGAAUACAUUAGCAUGGAAUAAUGAAAUAGGACGUUCGAACCUAUUUUGUUGGUUUCUAGGAUCAACGUAAUGAUUAAUAGGGAUAGUUGGGGGCAUUAGUAUUCAAUUGUCAGAGGUGAAAUUCUUGGAUUUAUUGAAGACUAACUACUGCGAAAGCAUUUGCCAAGGAUGUUUUCAUUAAUCAAGAACGAAAGUUAGGGGAUCGAAGACGAUCAGAUACCGUCGUAGUCUUAACCAUAAACUAUGCCGACUAGGGAUCGGAUGAUGUUAAUUUUUUAAUGACUCAUUCGGCGCCUUACGGGAAACCAAAGUGUUUGGGUUC
RNAcentral lists this ribosomal RNA (565 nucleotides) under Glomus chinense. RNAcentral describes it as "SSU rRNA". It matches the Rfam family "Eukaryotic small subunit ribosomal RNA", at positions 548 to 1114 of the family's 1831-position model. The record is from RNAcentral. Lineage: Eukaryota; Fungi; Glomeromycota; Glomeromycetes; Glomerales; Glomeraceae.